CGGGGGGGUGCUAUACAUGCAGUCGAGCGAACUGAUUAGAAGCUUGCUUCUAUGACGUUAGCGGCGGACGGGUGAGUAACACGUGGGCAACCUGCCUGUAAGACUGGGAUAACUUCGGGAAACCGAAGCUAAUACCGGAUAGGAUCUUCUCCUUCAUGGGAGAUGAUUGAAAGAUGGUUUCGGCUAUCACUUACAGAUGGGCCCGCGGUGCAUUAGCUAGUUGGUGAGGUAACGGCUCACCAAGGCAACGAUGCAUAGCCGACCUGAGAGGGUGAUCGGCCACACUGGGACUGAGACACGGCCCAGACUCCUACGGGAGGCAGCAGUAGGGAAUCUUCCGCAAUGGACGAAAGUCUGACGGAGCAACGCCGCGUGAGUGAUGAAGGCUUUCGGGUCGUAAAACUCUGUUGUUAGGGAAGAACAAGUACAAGAGUAACUGCUUGUACCUUGACGGUACCUAACCAGAAAGCCACGGCUAACUACGUGCCAGCAGCCGCGGUAAUACGUAGGUGGCAAGCGUUAUCCGGAAUUAUUGGGCGUAAAGCGCGCGCAGGCGGUUUCUUAAGUCUGAUGUGAAAGCCCACGGCUCAACCGUGGAGGGUCAUUGGAAACUGGGGAACUUGAGUGCAGAAGAGAAAAGCGGAAUUCCACGUGUAGCGGUGAAAUGCGUAGAGAUGUGGAGGAACACCAGUGGCGAAGGCGGCUUUUUGGUCUGUAACUGACGCUGAGGCGCGAAAGCGUGGGGAGCAAACAGGAUUAGAUACCCUGGUAGUCCACGCCGUAAACGAUGAGUGCUAAGUGUUAGAGGGUUUCCGCCCUUUAGUGCUGCAGCUAACGCAUUAAGCACUCCGCCUGGGGAGUACGGUCGCAAGACUGAAACUCAAAGGAAUUGACGGGGGCCCGCACAAGCGGUGGAGCAUGUGGGUUUAAAUUCGAAAGCAACGCGAAGAACCUUUACCCGGGUCUUGACAUCCUCUGAACAACUCUAGAGAAUAGAGCGUUCCCCUUUCGGGGGGACAGAGUGACAGUGGUUGCAUGUUGUCGUCAGCUUCGUGUCCGUGAGCAUGGUUUGGGUUAAGGUUCCCCGCCAAACGGAGC
This 1098-nucleotide ribosomal RNA is filed under the name Priestia megaterium. Its description in RNAcentral is "bacterial SSU rRNA". It matches the Rfam family "Bacterial small subunit ribosomal RNA", at positions 37 to 1097 of the family's 1533-position model. The record is from RNAcentral. Lineage: Bacteria; Bacillati; Bacillota; Bacilli; Caryophanales; Bacillaceae.